Molecule: long non-coding RNA, 518 nt
Filed under: Pan troglodytes (chimpanzee)
Lineage: Eukaryota; Metazoa; Chordata; Mammalia; Primates; Hominidae
Description: long non-coding RNA NONPTRT010072
Source: RNAcentral
CACAAGGAAACACCUGUCCCUUGGGAAAAAGCGUCGAUCCCAAGAGCAUUCCCCAAUAAAACCUCCUACACACUAAUUUCCAUUUCAGAAUCUACUUCCCAGGGAAUCCAACCUGUGAUGCCCCUUGAGAAAAACUAUACCUGGAGGAUUAGAUUGUGUGUCCCCUGUGGCCAGCAGCCACAAGGAGGAAGGGUGGCAGAAACUAGCAUGCCCAGUUUGUCCUUUCCAAAUUUACUCCAAUGGUCAACUAAUAGUAUCUUUAAUAUAGAUCCUUUUCUGGUUCCUUUUUUGUUCAUUAAUUCUUGGAUGAGUUUCUGAGCAGUUUUUAGUAAGAAGUGUGUAGGAAGAGAGGCCAGGGGUUUUGUGUUAGGCUGAAAACAUCCUUCUAUGAGUCAUCAUUCUCAUUUUCAUCAGCUCCCUGGGCCUGCUUAUUUUCCUUUGAUGUUUACAAAGGGACAUGUGAUUACAUAAGGGAAGGGUAAAGGGUAUAAUAAACCAGGGUUGUAAGAGAAGGACCA